This 441-nucleotide ribosomal RNA is filed under the name uncultured bacterium. RNAcentral describes it as "partial 16S ribosomal RNA". It matches the Rfam family "Bacterial small subunit ribosomal RNA", at positions 338 to 795 of the family's 1533-position model. The record is from RNAcentral.
ACUACGGGCGGCAGCAGUGGGGGAUAUUGCACAAUGGGGGGAACCCUGAUGCAGCGACGCCGCGUGGGUGAAGGAGUGCUUCGGCAUGUAAAGCCCUAUCGGCAGGGAAGAAGCAAGACGGUACCUGACUAAGAAGCCCCGGCUAACUACGUGCCAGCAGCCGCGGUAAUACGUAGGGGGCGAGCGUUACCCGGAUUCACGGGGUGUAAAGGGAGCGUAGACGGCCAUGCAAGCCAGGGGGGAAAGCCCGGGGCCCACCCCCGGGACUGCCCUUGGAACGGCAUGGCUGGAGGGCGGGAGGGGCAGGCGGAAUUCCUGGUGUAGCGGUGAAAUGCGUAGAUAUCAGGAGGAACACCGGCGGCGAAGGCGGCCUGCUGGACCGCGACUGACGUUGAGGCUCGAAAGCGUGGGGAGCGAACAGGAUUAGAUACCCCAGUAGUC